CUCUGAUGCAGCAACGCGCGUGAAGGAUGAAGGUCUUCGGAUUGUAAACUCUUUAGCCAGGGACGAUAAAUGACGGUACCUGGAAAAUAAGCCACGGCUAACUACGUGCCAGCAGCCGCGGUAAUACGUAGGUGGCAAGCGUUGUCCGGAAUUACUGGGUGUAAAGGGCGUGUAGGCGGGAAGGUAAGUCAGAUGUGAAAUUCCGGGGCUCAACCCCGGCACUGCAUCUGAAACUAUUUUUCUUGAGUGCUGGAGAGGAAAGCGGAAUUCCUAGUGUAGCGGUGAAAUGCGUAGAUAUUAGGAGGAACACCAGUGGCGAAGGCGGCUUUCUGGACAGUAACUGACGCUGAGGCGCGAAAGCGUGGGGAGCAAACAGGAUUAGAUACCCUGGUAGUCCACGCUGUAAACGAUGGAUACUAGGUGUAGGAGGUAUCGACCCCUUCUGUGCCGCAGUUAACACAAUAAGUAUCCCACCUGGGGAGUACGGCCGCAAGGUUG
Molecule: ribosomal RNA, 498 nt
Filed under: uncultured Bacillota bacterium
Lineage: Bacteria; Bacillati; Bacillota
Description: bacterial SSU rRNA
Rfam family: Bacterial small subunit ribosomal RNA
Source: RNAcentral